UACGUAGGUGGCAAGCGUUGUCCGGAUUUACUGGGCGUAAAGAGCGCGCAGGCGGUCGUAUAAGUCGAAUGUGAAAGCCCCCGGCUCAACUGGGGAGGGUCAUUCGAUACUGUUCGACUCGAAGGCAGGAGAGGGAAGUGGAAUUCCGGGUGUAGUGGUGAAAUGCGUAGAUAUUGGGAGGAACACCAGUGGCGAAGGCGGUCCCCUGGGCCGGAACUGACGCUGAGGCGCGAAAGCGUGGGUAGCAAACGGG
This 253-nucleotide ribosomal RNA is filed under the name uncultured bacterium. RNAcentral's name for it is "partial 16S ribosomal RNA". It matches the Rfam family "Bacterial small subunit ribosomal RNA", at positions 524 to 776 of the family's 1533-position model. The record is from RNAcentral.